This 73-nucleotide transfer RNA is filed under the name Lysobacteraceae bacterium. RNAcentral's name for it is "Xanthomonadaceae bacterium tRNA-Phe". It matches the Rfam family "tRNA". From Rfam's summary of the family: Transfer RNA (tRNA) molecules are approximately 80 nucleotides in length. Their secondary structure includes four short double-helical elements and three loops (D, anti-codon, and T loops). Further hydrogen bonds mediate the characteristic L-shaped molecular structure. tRNAs have two regions of fundamental functional importance: the anti-codon, which is responsible for specific mRNA codon recognition, and the 3' end, to which the tRNAs corresponding amino acid is attached (by aminoacyl-tRNA synthetases). tRNAs cope with the degeneracy of the genetic code in two manners: having more than one tRNA (with a specific anti-codon) for a particular amino acid; and 'wobble' base-pairing, i.e. permitting non-standard base-pairing at the 3rd anti-codon position. Lineage: Bacteria; Pseudomonadati; Pseudomonadota; Gammaproteobacteria; Lysobacterales; Lysobacteraceae. The record is from RNAcentral.
GGCCGGGUAGCUCAGUCGGUAGAGCAAGGGAUUGAAAAUCCCUGUGUCGGGGGCACUGCACCUCAACCCGCCU